Molecule: transfer RNA, 76 nt
Filed under: Arsenophonus sp.
Lineage: Bacteria; Pseudomonadati; Pseudomonadota; Gammaproteobacteria; Enterobacterales; Morganellaceae
Description: tRNA-Phe
Rfam family: tRNA
About the family: Transfer RNA (tRNA) molecules are approximately 80 nucleotides in length.
Source: RNAcentral
GCCCGGAUAGCUCAGUCGGUAGAGCAGAGGAUUGAAAAUCCUCGUGUCGGUGGUUCGAUUCCUCCUCCGGGCACCA